This 113-nucleotide ribosomal RNA is filed under the name Acanthosepion pharaonis. The record is from RNAcentral. Lineage: Eukaryota; Metazoa; Mollusca; Cephalopoda; Sepiida; Sepiidae.
UACGGCCAUAUCACUUUGAAACACCAGUUCUUGUACGAUUACCGAAAUUAAGCAAUGUCGAGCCUGGUCAGUACCUAGAUGGGUAAUCGCUUGGGAAUAUCAGCAGCUGCAAG